AUCUUUCCAUUAAUGUUCUUGUGUAAGGUUAACGUUUUGAUUUGUAGGGUUUUCUUGGUGUGUUGCUAAAGGGGGCUCAAUUUCGUUAAUUGCCAUUGGUUAGUCCAAUAUGGCUUAAGUUUACAUUUUGGAGAAAAACUAUUUCUUGUUACUAGUUCUAGCAUUAUAUCUUUCAUAUUUUUAUGAAAUUACUCAAUAUUGGAGAAGGGUUUUAAAUAGUGUAAGGGAUUAGAAAAAGAAAAUGUUAAGCUUUAACGCUUUUAUGAAGGAUGGCUGCUUUUAGGCCCACUAAUCAUUUCAUUUAGAUAUAUUACCCUGUGAUGUAGGUUGUAUCCUGUUUCAAAUAAGCUGUGCCUUAUUUGAAUAGCUCUUAAAUUUAGUGAAGGUUUAGAUAAACUAAGGAAAAUUUAAGGUUGAACUAAAAUUCUUUUCUUGAGUAACCAGCUAUUUCUGAGUGCGGUAGGUUWAUCGCCUCUACUUGGAAAUCUUCCCACUCUAUUGCAMCAGAGAUGGGUUAGCUCUUAUAGCUGUUUCGAAGUAGCUUACAUCAGUUUCGGGGGGUUAAACUUAAAGUUCAUU
RNAcentral lists this ribosomal RNA (579 nucleotides) under Mantella expectata. RNAcentral's name for it is "partial 16S ribosomal RNA". Lineage: Eukaryota; Metazoa; Chordata; Amphibia; Anura; Mantellidae. The record is from RNAcentral.